GAAAUGCGAUAAGUAAUGUGAAUUGCAGAAUUCAGUGAAUCAUCGAAUCUUUGAACGCACAUUGCGCCCGCCAGCACUCUGGCGGGCAUGCCUGUUCGAGCGUCAUUUCAACCAUCAAGCCCCCAGGGGCUUGUGCUGGGGUCCUGCGGCUGCCCGCAGGCCCUGAAAACCAGUGGCGGGCUCGCUAGUCACACCGAGCGCAGUAGCACAUCUCGCUCAGGGCGUGCGGCGGGCUCCUGCCGUGAAACCCCCCACUGUAACCCCAAAGGUUGACCUCGGAUCAGGUAGGAAUACCCGCUGAACUUAA
RNAcentral lists this unclassified non-coding RNA (307 nucleotides) under uncultured Sordariales. RNAcentral's name for it is "sequence contains ITS1". The stretch from base 1 to 105 matches the Rfam family "5.8S ribosomal RNA", at positions 50 to 154 of the family's 154-position model. Lineage: Eukaryota; Fungi; Ascomycota; Sordariomycetes; Sordariales. The record is from RNAcentral.